GACGAACGCUGGCGGCGUGCUUAACACAUGCAAGUCGAACAGAAAGGCCCUGCUUUUGUGGGGUGCUCGAGUGGCGAACGGGUGAGUAACACGUGAGUAACCUGCCCUUGACUUUGGGAUAACUUCAGGAAACUGGGGCUAAUACCGGAUAGGAGCUCCUGCUGCAUGGUGGGGGUUGGAAAGUUUCGGCGGUUGGGGAUGGACUCGCGGCUUAUCAGCUUGUUGGUGGGGUAGUGGCUUACCAAGGCUUUGACGGGUAGCCGGCCUGAGAGGGUGACCGGCCACAUUGGGACUGAGAUACGACCCAGACUCCUACGGGAGGCAGCAGUGGGGAAUAUUGCACAAUGGGCGGAAGCCUGAUGCAGCAACGCCGCGUGCGGGAUGACGGCCUUCGGGUUGUAAACCGCUUUCGCCUGUGACGAAGCGUGAGUGACGGUAAUGGGUAAAGAAGCACCGGCUAACUACGUG
Molecule: ribosomal RNA, 468 nt
Filed under: uncultured bacterium
Lineage: Bacteria
Description: partial 16S ribosomal RNA
Rfam family: Bacterial small subunit ribosomal RNA
Source: RNAcentral